GCUACGGGAGGCAGCAGUGAGGAAUAUUGGUCAAUGGCCGAGAGGCUGAACCAGCCAAGUCGCGUGAGGGAAGACGGCCCUACGGGUUGUAAACCUCUUUUGUCGGGGAGCAAAGCGAACCACGUGUGGGUCAUUGAGAGUACCCGAAGAAAAAGCAUCGGCUAACUCCGUGCCAGCAGCCGCGGUAAGACGGAGGAUGCGAGCGUUCUCCGGAUUUAUUGGGGUUAAAGGGUGCGCAGGCGGAGGUGCAAGUCAGCGGUCAAAUUGCGGGGCUCAACCCCGUACUGCCGUUGAAACUGCAUCCCUUGAGUGCGCGAGCCGUAUUCGGAAUGCGUGGUGUAGCGGU
This 346-nucleotide ribosomal RNA is filed under the name uncultured bacterium. Its description in RNAcentral is "partial 16S ribosomal RNA". It matches the Rfam family "Bacterial small subunit ribosomal RNA", at positions 338 to 682 of the family's 1533-position model. The record is from RNAcentral.